GAUAAGAACGUAGUGAAAUGCGAUAAGUAGUGUGAAUUGCAGAAUUCAGUGAAUCAUCGAAUCUUUGAACGCACAUUGCGCCCCUUGGUAUCCCGAGGGGCAUGCCUGUUCGAGCGUCAUUUCACCACUCAAGCCUGGCUUGGUGUUGGGCGACGUCCCCUUUGGGGACGCGCCUCGAAACGCUCGGCGGCGUGGCACCGGCUUUAAGCGUAGCAGAAUCUUUCGCUUUGGAAGUCGGGGCCCCGUCUGCCGGAAGACCUACUCGCAAGGUUGACCUCGGAUCAGGCAGGGAUACCCGCUGAACUUAAGCAUAUCAAUAAGCGGAGGA
This 328-nucleotide unclassified non-coding RNA is filed under the name soil metagenome. RNAcentral's name for it is "partial contains 5.8S ribosomal RNA, internal transcribed spacer 2, and large subunit ribosomal RNA". The stretch from base 4 to 119 matches the Rfam family "5.8S ribosomal RNA", at positions 39 to 154 of the family's 154-position model. The record is from RNAcentral.